Molecule: ribosomal RNA, 788 nt
Filed under: uncultured Psychrobacter sp.
Lineage: Bacteria; Pseudomonadati; Pseudomonadota; Gammaproteobacteria; Moraxellales; Moraxellaceae
Description: bacterial SSU rRNA
Rfam family: Bacterial small subunit ribosomal RNA
Source: RNAcentral
AUUGAACGCUGGCGGCAGGCUUAACACAUGCAAGUCGAGCGGUAACAUUUCUAGCUUGCUAGAAGAUGACGAGCGGCGGACGGGUGAGUAAUACUUAGGAAUCUACCUAGUAGUGGGGGAUAGCACGGGGAAACUCGUAUUAAUACCGCAUACGACCUACGGGAGAAAGGGGGCAGUUUACUGCUCUCGCUAUUAGAUGAGCCUAAGUCGGAUUAGCUAGAUGGUGGGGUAAAGGCCUACCAUGGCGACGAUCUGUAGCUGGUCUGAGAGGAUGAUCAGCCACACCGGGACUGAGACACGGCCCGGACUCCUACGGGAGGCAGCAGUGGGGAAUAUUGGACAAUGGGGGAAACCCUGAUCCAGCCAUGCCGCGUGUGUGAAGAAGGCCUUUUGGUUGUAAAGCACUUUAAGCAGUGAAGAAGACUCCAUGGUUAAUACCCAUGGACGAUGACAUUAGCUGUAGAAUAAGCACCGGCUAACUCUGUGCCAGCAGCCGCGGUAAUACAGAGGGUGCAAGCGUUAAUCGGAAUUACUGGGCGUAAAGGGAGCGUAGGUGGCUCUAUAAGUCAGAUGUGAAAUCCCCGGGCUUAACCUGGGAACUGCAUCUGAAACUGUAGAGCUAGAGUAUGUGAGAGGAAGGUAGAAUUCCACGUGUAGCGGUGAAAUGCGUAGAGAUCUGGAGGAAUACCGAUGGCGAAGGCAGCCUUCUGGCAUAAUACUGACACUGAGGCUCGAAAGCGUGGGUAGCAAACAGGAUUAGAUACCCUGGUAGUCCACGCCGUAAACGA